AUUGAACGCUGGCGGCAUGCCUUACACAUGCAAGUCGAACGGCAGCAUGAUCUCGCUUGCUGGAUUGAUGGCGAGUGGCGCACGGGUGAGUAAUACAUCCGCACGUGCCCUGUAGUGGGGGAUAACUAGUCGAAAGAUUAGCCAAUACCGCAUACGACCUGAGGGUGAAAGUGGGGGACCGCAAGGCCUCAUGCUAUAGGAUCGGCCGAUGUCUGAUUAGCUAGUUGGUGGGGUAAAGGCUCACCAAGGCGACGAUCAGUAGCUGGUCUGAGAGGACGAUCAGCCACACUGGGACUGAGACACGGCCCAGACUCCUACGGGAGGCAGCAGUGGGGAAUUUUGGACAAUGGGCGAAAGCCUGAUCCAGCAAUGCCGCGUGUGUGAAGAAGGCCUUCGGGUUGUAAAGCACUUUUGUCCGGAAAGAAAUGGCUCUGGUUAAUACCUGGGGUCGAUGACGGUACCGGAAGAAUAAGAACCGGCUAACUACGUG
Molecule: ribosomal RNA, 490 nt
Filed under: uncultured bacterium
Lineage: Bacteria
Description: partial 16S ribosomal RNA
Rfam family: Bacterial small subunit ribosomal RNA
Source: RNAcentral